ACCUAGCUGACGAGUCCCAAAUAGGACGAAACGUGCGUCUUGGAU
RNAcentral lists this non-coding RNA (45 nucleotides) under Schistosoma curassoni. Lineage: Eukaryota; Metazoa; Platyhelminthes; Trematoda; Strigeidida; Schistosomatidae. The record is from RNAcentral.